Molecule: ribosomal RNA, 504 nt
Filed under: uncultured bacterium
Lineage: Bacteria
Description: partial 16S ribosomal RNA
Rfam family: Bacterial small subunit ribosomal RNA
Source: RNAcentral
AUUGAACGCUGGCGGCAGGCCUAACACAUGCAAGUCGAACGGUAGCACAGAGAGCUUGCUCUCGGGUGACGAGUGGCGGACGGGUGAGUAAUGUCUGGGAAACUGCCCGAUGGAGGGGGAUAACUACUGGAAACGGUAGCUAAUACCGCAUAACGUCGCAAGACCAAAGUGGGGGACCUUCGGGCCUCACACCAUCGGAUGUGCCCAGAUGGGAUUAGCUAGUAGGUGGGGUAAUGGCUCACCUAGGCGACGAUCCCUAGCUGGUCUGAGAGGAUGACCAGCCACACUGGAACUGGGACACGGUCCAGACUCCUACGGGAGGCAGCAGUGGGGAAUAUUGCACAAUGGGCGCAAGCCUGAUGCAGCCAUGCCGCGUGUAUGAAGAAGGUCUUCGGGUUGUAAAGUACUUUCAGCGGGGAGGAAGGCGGUGAAGUUAAUAACUUCACCGAUUGACGUUACCCGCAGAAGAAGCACCGGCUAACUCCGUGCCAGCAGCCGCAGUAA